Molecule: non-coding RNA, 451 nt
Organism: Pelobates cultripes (western spadefoot toad)
Lineage: Eukaryota; Metazoa; Chordata; Amphibia; Anura; Pelobatidae
Source: the annotation of a GenBank genome assembly
CACACAGAGAGAGAUAGAGAGAUACACUGCAUCCUAACUGCACCCAGAGAGAGAUACACUGCAUCCUAACUGCACUCAGAGAGAGAGAUACACUGCAUCCUAACUGCACACAGAGAGACAGAUACACUGCAUCCUAACUGCACUCAGAGAGAGAGAGAUACACUGCAUCCUAACUGCACUCAGAGAGAGAGAUACACUGCAUCCUAAAUGUACUCAGCGAGAGAUACACUGCAUCCUAACUGCACCCAGAGAGAGAGAGAGAUACACUGCAUCCUAACUCCACUCAGAUACACUGCAUUCUGACUGCACUCAGAGAGAGAUACACUGCAUCCUAACUGCACCCAGAGAGGGAGAUACACUGCAUCCUGACUGCACCCAGAGAGAGAGAGAUACACUGCAUCCUAACUGCACUCAGAGGGAGAUACACUGCAUUCUAACUGCACCCAGAGAG